CUGGGUCUGCGUGUUGGAGAGGGUGGCAGAGGCAGCUGCUAGAAGGUGUGCCAGCAAGACUUUGUAUUCCUAGUUGAGACCGAACCUGGGAAGAGGCUUCAAAGUAGUAAGUACAAUACUUAUGUGUCCAUGAAAACUUGGAAUUUGUUGUUAGGCUACUAGUUUUUUUUUUAUUAGGAGCACGUUGUUUACUGUGUCCUGAAGUUAUCUUGCUACAGGAGAAGAGGUUCCAAACACCAGAGCUGUGCCGUGUUUUAUACAGCGGUGAAUCAGUGUUGCUCUGUCCUUCUCCUACUUCGAGGUGUUAUAUAGAUGUCAAGUCUCAUCCAGUAAACCCUGCAAGGAUUCGGAAAACACAAGAAUGAGUAGAGACAGUGUCACUACUGCCAGUAAUUGCUGGAAGCGGAGGAGAAGGGAGCUGUAGAAUAUUGGCAUGUGGAGAAGUGCUGAGUUGUUAUGCCUACUCUGGC
Struthio camelus australis is the source of this 470-nucleotide non-coding RNA. The record is from RefSeq and is a predicted model, not a curated record. NCBI's taxonomy places the organism in Eukaryota, Metazoa, Chordata, Aves, Struthioniformes, Struthionidae.